Balaenoptera acutorostrata (minke whale) is the source of this 1128-nucleotide long non-coding RNA. RefSeq lists it as uncharacterized. The record is from RefSeq and is a predicted model, not a curated record. The transcript is spliced from 2 exons. Lineage: Eukaryota; Metazoa; Chordata; Mammalia; Artiodactyla; Balaenopteridae.
CAUUCUUACAUCAGGACUCCUCCCCGCACCCCUACUCUUCCCACCCCUCCCCUGUCCCUAACUCCCGCUCCCCGCCAGACCUGGGCCUUUUCCUUAAAGCCACAGUCGCUCACUUCUGUACCGGCGGGAGCCCCCAACGCGCUACACCGCCACCUGGGUGUAGCGGGGUCCCCGCCUCUCCCUGGCCCCGCAAGCGGCAGCUCUCUUUCCAGUUCCGGGCUUUAAAAAUGGAAAUAUGUUUGAAAGUAAAGAAACGCGCGCAGGCACGCACGCACACACACACACACACACACACACACCACGCCGUGCAAAAAACAACAGGAUUAAAGGAAGGGGGUGGCCCUGGAAAUUGGUGGUUUCGUUGCAAAAAAAAAAACAACCACCCUAGGUCCCGCUGACUCUCACCUCUUUCUCAUUCCAGCCACAUUCCCUCCUGACGCGCCCACUCGGGGCGUGCACUCGACCUUCCCGGUCCCCUGGCGCAAGGUCAGGGAACAGGGACCAAGGUCCCGGGGCAGACGGGUCGGUCGCGGACCUGGAACGCCCAGCUAGCCCGGACGUCCCCGCUAUCCCUCCUUCCCGCGCUCCCCACCCCCGCCGGCCUCCUCCCCCUGAGCCGCGCGAGUUCGCGCCAGAGUCGCAGUGCUGCCGGGCACCCAGUGUCCCCGCGCACGGACACCUCCGCCGGCGCGCUGCGAGCAGAAAAGCUAAACUUGUUGCUUCCAAAGGCGAGAGAGCAGUUCUUCUGAAGGUGGCAGAAAGCUUGAAAAGCAUCUCCAUGGCGUCCUCUGGGCUUUACUUGCUAAGCCAGGGGCAGCACGAGACCCUGUGCUCCGGCUUCGGUAAUGCCGAGGAAGGUCCUGCAUCCCAGACCCAGUCUUGCCACUUGUCACAGGCACAGCAGUUGUGGAGACGAGAGUGGAAACGGCCGUGGAGAAGUCCGUGGCCAGAGGAGCCUCGCCGGAGUCCGCAGCGCUGCAGGGCAGGUCCGAAUGGAGCUUGACCCUCUGAACGUGGUAACAUACCGAGGUCAUUUGCAGUGGGAACGUACUACACUGGACGGGUGAAUUCUGACACUGAAGUCCCACAAAUUAAAAUAAAUUGAUAAUGUUUUUAAAUGGUCUUUCA